GACGAACGCUGGCGGCGUGCUUAACACAUGCAAGUCGAGCGGUAAGGCCCUUUCGGGGGUACGACGAGCGGCGAACGGGUAGAGUAACACGUGGGUGACCUGCCCUUAGCUCUGGGAUAAGCCUGGGAAACUGGGUCGUAAUACCGGAUAUGACUCCAUGACGCAUGUUGUGGGGUGGAAAGCCUUGUGCGGCUAGGGAUGGGCCCGCGGCCUAUCAGCUUGUUGGUGGGGUGAUGGCCUACCAAGGCGACGACGGGUAGCCGGCCUGAGAGGGCGACCGGCCACACUGGGACUGAGACACGGCCCAGACUCCUACCGGGAGGCAGCAGUGGGGAAUCUUGCGCAAUGGGCGAAAGCCUGACGCAGCGACGCCGCGUGGGGAUGACGGCCU
RNAcentral lists this ribosomal RNA (391 nucleotides) under uncultured bacterium. RNAcentral describes it as "bacterial SSU rRNA". It matches the Rfam family "Bacterial small subunit ribosomal RNA", at positions 28 to 417 of the family's 1533-position model. The record is from RNAcentral.